RNAcentral lists this ribosomal RNA (253 nucleotides) under uncultured bacterium. RNAcentral's name for it is "partial 16S ribosomal RNA". It matches the Rfam family "Bacterial small subunit ribosomal RNA", at positions 524 to 776 of the family's 1533-position model. The record is from RNAcentral.
UACGUAGGGUGCGAGCGUUGUCCGGAAUUAUUGGGCGUAAAGAGCUUGUAGGUGGUUUGUCGCGUCUGCUGUGAAAAUCCGAGGCUCAACCUCGGACUUGCAGUGGGUACGGGCAGACUAGAGUGUGGUAGGGGAGACUGGAAUUCCUGGUGUAGCGGUGGAAUGCGCAGAUAUCAGGAAGAACACCCGUGGCGAAGGCGGCUCUCUGGGACGGUACUGACGCUGAGACGCGAAAGCGUGGGGAGCGAACAGG